This 93-nucleotide transfer RNA is filed under the name Ophiocordyceps unilateralis. It matches the Rfam family "tRNA". Rfam says of the family: Transfer RNA (tRNA) molecules are approximately 80 nucleotides in length. Their secondary structure includes four short double-helical elements and three loops (D, anti-codon, and T loops). Lineage: Eukaryota; Fungi; Ascomycota; Sordariomycetes; Hypocreales; Ophiocordycipitaceae. The record is from Rfam by way of RNAcentral.
GGCAGAGUGCCCGAGUGGACUAUGGGGCUGCGCUCGAAUUACCCUCGAUACGCUGUGGCUUCGGCCGCGCAGGUUCGAAUCCUGCCUCUGUCG